CAGGGAAUAUUGCACAAUGGGCGAAAGCCUGAUGCAGCGACACCGCGUGCGGGAUGAAUGCCUUCGGGUUGUAAACCGCUUUCAGGAGGGACGAAAAUGACGGUACCUCCAGAAGAAGGCCCGGCCAACUACGUGCCAGCAGCCGCGGUAAUACGUAGGGGCCAAACGUUGUCCGGAUUUAUUGGGCGUAAAGGGCUCGUAGGCGGUUCAACAAGUCGAUCGUGAAAGCCCGGGGCUCAACCCCGGGACGCCGGUCGAAACUGUUGUGACUAGGGUCCGGUAGAGGUGAGUGGAAUUCUCGGUGUAGCGGUGGAAUGCGCAGAUAUCGAGAGGAACACCAGUAGCGAAGGCGGCUCACUGGGCCGGUACCGACGCUGAGGAGCGAAAGCAUGGGGAGCGAACAGGAUUAGAUACCCUGGUAGUCCAUGCCGUAAACGAUGAACACUAGGUGUGGCGGACUCAUUGACGUCUGCCGUGCCGAAGCUAACGCAUUAAGUGUUCCGCCUGGGGAGUACGGCCGCAAGGCUA
Molecule: ribosomal RNA, 528 nt
Filed under: uncultured bacterium
Lineage: Bacteria
Description: bacterial SSU rRNA
Rfam family: Bacterial small subunit ribosomal RNA
Source: RNAcentral